RNAcentral lists this long non-coding RNA (305 nucleotides) under Gossypium barbadense (sea-island cotton). Its description in RNAcentral is "long non-coding RNA (GBAR_LNC016521)". Lineage: Eukaryota; Viridiplantae; Streptophyta; Magnoliopsida; Malvales; Malvaceae. The record is from RNAcentral.
GGAAUUUGCUUAUUGGGCCUCGCCUUUAAGAAUUUGGGCUUGUGAUCCAUCUCCUACCGAAAUUGGGUCGUUGACGCUUGUAAUGGAGAUCCAACGCGCUUUGGCUGCAAGAUUCGGUUUCUUGGACCAAGAUUUCCAAGAUUUGAAAUCUUGAUUUUCUUGAUUCUUGAAAUCGCUCCGAACAGCAAAAUUGGGCCAAGAUUCGAUUUCUUGAUUUUCUUGAAAACAAGAAAGUGAAUCUUGAUUUUCUUGAUUUGAGCCCAUCGCCUUCUUAAGCUUGGGUUGGGCCUUUGUGACUCGUAUCA